Molecule: long non-coding RNA, 254 nt
Organism: Chelonia mydas (Green sea turtle)
Lineage: Eukaryota; Metazoa; Chordata; Testudines; Cheloniidae
Exons: 3
Source: RefSeq, a predicted model, not a curated record
UUCAAGGGGUCUACCAAGCAAGGCCAGCAUUAGACUCGCUGGGGCCCAAGUCACAAAGCUGAAGCCCCACUGCAUGGGGCUGAAGCCCGAGGCCUUGAGCCCCACCACCCAGGGCUGAAGUCAAAGCCCGAGCAGCUUAGCUUCACGGGGGCGCCUGUGGCAUGGGGUCCCAGGCAAUUGACCUGCUUGCUACCCCCUAACACAGGACCUAGCUUUUAUAUGCAAAAAACUAGUUAUUGUGGGACAGGCUGGAC